CCCGACUGUAUGCUCACACAAAUGGCGCUUAUAGAUCCAUGCAACUGAUAUCAGUGUGGGGUAAGCAAAAUCAAUAAAGCUAGUGUAGAGUUAGCAAAAUCAAUAAAGCUUGAGUUUUAUAAGUUCCUACAGCUGUGACACCUAUGGCAGACAGUCUGCUUGGAAUGUUUGCUGUAAUAUAUUGAGUUGUUAGUCACCGCAUCGCAAGAAUAUUAUUCUACAACCAGCAGAUCUCUUAGUUGUUAUAACUUAAACUUGUAUCGCUAUAGUACUCACUGAUCAAACACACAGUCUGUUCACUGUUAUCUAUCUACCUUGGCGAGUGGAUCGAGCUGAUGGGUGUCCAGUUGAAGGAAACUGGGGCCUUGUGUUGUAUGUCAUUGUUGGUGCCACGAUAACUACGCAGUCAUGCUGUUUUACCCAGCAAAACAAACAUGGAAACUGGUCGUUUUUGUGUUUGUUAAUCUCCAGUUCACACCAGGUCUUCAACAAUCACUGAACAUCACCAGCACAGCACCCUCAGCUUAUGCAGAGGACUGUCCUGACUUUGAAUUGCUAGUUCAGAUUCACUGUGGAGUUCCAGCGGAACGCGACUGCAUACUGAAGCGCUGGGUAUGUGAUGGCUAUCCAGAUUGUCCUCAGGAAAAUGAUGAAAGUCCUGCCACGUGUCAGAACACUGACCCUUGUGUGCCACAACCAUGUCAGAAUGGAGGUGUUUGCUAUGGAUUUCCAGCAAUGGAGAAUAUUUCGGUUGCUUACUUCAUCUGCAAGUGCCCUGAGCAUUUAACAGGCAUCACUUGCAGUGUUUUUAUUCCCACCACCACUGUUGCUUACUCCCCAGUGACGUCUGCUACCCCAAGUCCUAAUACCACCCUGUCAGGAUCUGCGCAGACAACAACUACAUUAAUAGUAAAUACAACGGCCAACAGCUCAACCACAGAUGACUUGACUGGAUGUGACUCAAAGCCAUGCAUGCAGGGUGCCUGUUCAGCACUGCGAGGAGGGGCCUAUUACUGCAGUUGCAUUCCAGGGUAUGGUGGUGUAAACUGUGAGAUAGUGACUCAGCCAUGUCUUUCCCAACCCUGUUUGAAUGGGGGUUUGUGCCAGGAAAACAGUACUACCUACGGAUGUGUGUGCCCUGCAGGUUUUACUGGUUUGCACUGUGAAAACAAGAUCCUGGCCUGCGAUAGUUCUCCAUGUCUUAAUGGUGCUACCUGUCAAAAUACACCAGUGGGUUUUUUGUGCACCUGUCAGAAAGGCUAUGAAGGGCUACGCUGUGAGAGUCAGACAAAUCUGUGCACUUCAAUGCCGUGUUUGUUUAACAGCACUUGCAUCCCAGGGCUGAACUCUUUUAAGUGUUUGUGCCAGCCAGGUUAUGCAGGAGAGUUUUGUGAACGUUUGCAAAUGUGUCAUGAUGGUGACCCUUGCCAAAACUUUGGGAUUUGCAUACCAGCUUUCCUAUCAUUGCUACAGCCAAGCUGUGCCUGUCUCGAUGGAUUUACUGGCAGCUGGUGUCAAAUCAAUGUGGAUGAAUGUGCCAAUAACCCAUGUGGCACUCAUGGCACAUGCAUAGACAGCAUCAACAGCUACACAUGUAACUGCAACCCUGGUUAUGUUGGAACCAACUGUGACAGAUCUAUGGAUCAAGAUCCUUGUGUACCCCAGCCAUGUCAAAAUGGUGGCUAUUGCUGUUCACGUGGAAAGCAAGGCUGUCCUGUCAAUAUGGUUGAAGGACAGUACCAGUGCUUCUGCUAUAAUGGAUAUACAGGUAGUCACUGUGAACAGUCAGUUGGAGCAUGCAUGACCAGACCUUGUCAAAAUGGAGGAGUGUGCACAUUAUCUGACUCUUCUUACCACUGCACAUGUCCACUGACCUUUACUGGGGUCAACUGCACACUGCCUAUACCCUGCGCUAGUGGGCCAUGUUUCAAUGGUGCAACAUGCAAGGAGGUUAACGAAAGUUACAUCUGUGAAUGUGGAGCUACAGCUUAUGGAGUUAACUGCCAGUUUUCACAGAGAUGUUCAAGUGAUUUUUGUUCCAAUGGAGGCAUCUGCAGGGAGACAGAAAAAGGAACAGUUUGUGAGUGUCCCCCACAGUUUACCGGCUCUCAUUGCGAAAAUCUUUGGCCUUGCAUCUCCACUCCUUGCCAGAAUGGGGGAUCUUGUAAAAACAUCUCUGUGACAGAAUUCCAGUGUCAGUGUAGGGAUGGUUUCACAGGACGUGUCUGUGAGACUGAGCUCCCUUGUCAGAGUGGACCCUGUUUGAAUGGUGGUGCAUGUGAAAAUACUGCCAGUGGCUUUGUGUGUCACUGCUUAAACAACUUUACUGGCCCCACCUGUGCCUUGCCUCCACUGUGCGCCAGUGAGCCCUGCUUGAAUGGAGGUUCAUGUGCAGAAGCUACAGGUAUUUUCCACUGCACUUGCCAGCUAGGAUUUCAGGGUGUACAAUGUGAGACCUUUCUUCCGUGCAUUAGCAGCCCUUGUGAGUUCAACUCGUCAUGCGUCAAUAUAGAUAAUACCACCUUUCACUGUCAGUGUCCCAACGGGAUCACUGGGAGCAGAUGUGAGACAAUUUUGCCAUGCAGAAGUAAUCCAUGUCUUAAUGGGGGACAGUGUACAAACCUUGACUCGAGCUACAACUGCAACUGUACCAGUGAAUUUAUAGGUGACAACUGUGAGCAAGUAUCACCUUGCCAUAAUUCCUCUUGCCUUAAUGGAGGGACAUGUGUUGUGAAUGGCAGUUCUUACACCUGUCUCUGUCCCAGAUUCUACUCUGGAGACCUCUGUGCUGAAUACAAUCCCUGCAAUAUUCUUCCUUGUCAGAAUGGAGGUAUAUGUCACAUCAAUGGAAGUCAGUUUUACUGCACGUGUCCUCAAGGUUACACAGGUACACUGUGUGAAACCUUCUCUCCGGUUUGCCAGAAUCAGCCAUGUCUUAACAAUGGCACUUGUCAGCCAAGCGGUGAUUCCUUUAUGUGCCUUUGCCCGCUGACAAGUGUUGGUGAUCGCUGCCAAAUCAGCUUCCCGUGUGGUAAUUCUCCAUGUCAAAAUAAUGGCGUGUGCAGAAACACUAAUGAAACAUACACCUGCCAGUGCCCUUCCCAUUACACUGGCAGAAACUGUGAAAUACCUUUGCCAUGCACAUCUGGACCAUGCGUGAAUGGUACCUGCAUAGAUGGUGCAGAUGGAGACUAUAGCUGUGAAUGUGUGCCCAAUUACUCAGGGAAGAAUUGUGAUGUGCAGGUACUUACCUGCAGUAAAGCUUUAUGUAUCAAUGGUGAUUGCAUCAUGCAAGAUGGAAUUAUGCAGUGUGUCUGUGAUAGUGGAUUCACAGGCACCAACUGUGGAAUACAGUCAACAGCAUGCCUGUCUCAUCCUUGCCUUAAUGGAGGAACCUGUCAUAAUGUGGGCUCUACCUUCGUCUGUGCCUGCCCUGCCAAUUACACAGGUGUACAGUGUGAGUCUGGUCUUCCACCAUGCUAUUUUGAACCUUGCCAGAAUGGCGCUCGCUGCAUAGAUCAGAGUGACACACAUUACAUCUGUUUUUGUCCUCCGGGCUUUAAGAGUGCCACAUGUGACACUGAAACAACAGCCUGUGACAGUUCUCCUUGUCUCAAUGGUGGGACAUGCCAGUUAUCUGGAAAUGGGUUUAUCUGUACCUGCCCUUCAGAAUAUGGAGGGGAGAUGUGUGAAUACAACCGUGGGUCAUGCUCUUCUGAGCCAUGUCAAAACCAUGGUACCUGUCUUAUGGCUGGCAGUGGUUACAUUUGUGUCUGUCAACCACCCUAUACAGGACAUGUAUGUGAGGCCAGUGUGGUCAGCUGCGGGAAUGGUUUUAACAGCCCAUGUGUUGGUCCUGGUGAAUGUUACACGGAUGAAGCUGGUGCUUACUGUGAGUGUGCUACUGGUUACAGUGGAAUCUUCUGCCAGAUUAAAGAUGGGCGAAUACUGCAGUGAUGCUGCACAGAGCUGUGAAGGUAAUUACUGUAAUGGAGGUUUCUGUCGUGAGAAUUUCGACAACACUUUUUCAUGUCUCUGUCCACCUGGCACAAGUGGUCCACACUGCAACAUCACCUUUGGAUCUGGGAUUUGAAGACAAUGUGGAAACCAGUCAUCCCAUUACAGACUUUGGCUGUAAAGAACUUCUCCUAGGCCGUUAUGCAAAGACAUCAAAAACCAAAAUGUAACGUCAGAUGUUCUAGGAUUUUCUAAGAUGUGUUUUGUAAGAAUGACAUAUCUGUCUUGUGACCUGUUGGGAAGCUCAAUGUUGUUGAUUUAUCUGUUAAAUUUUAAAUCUUGUCAACUUGUCAUAUGGGAGGAUCACGUGUUUCUGAAUGCUCUGGUAUGAUUUCAUAAUAGUUGUACUUUAUGUUGUACUGUUCCCCUCUCCACUUAUGACCUCUACCCUUUUUCUGUGAGUGUGUGUGUUUUAAACAGAGCCUUAAAUCUUUAGCAGAUAAUUUUUUCAUUGUUAAUACAGAAUCUAGAAUAAAAUAGUUUUUAUAAAGUACCUUUUAACUUAUUUAAAAUUUUAUUGUAGCAUCACUCAGAGAGAGAGAGAGAGAAAAAGAGAAGUUAGUUUCUAAUUUUCGCUGUACUCUUAUAAUCUACAAAUAGGCAAUAAAUGGUUUCUAAAUAGUUUAAGCAAUAAAAUUUGGCACAGGCAGUGUGCAUUAGAUUAAAAUGAAACACCAAAGAAAGGCUAAAGACAUUUUCUAAGUUUAUUUUUCAAUGGAUCACCAACGCAACUUUCCACAACCAGGAACACAGAAUCCACACAAUUUAAGGUUUGAAGUUGGUGUCUCCAUACCUUAACAGUAACCAAACAUAAUCUAUCAAAACAAACCAAAAACAAUAAAACCAGACCCCCAGAAAGAAACUUGCUUCAUAGGUUGUGAUUAACUUUUGAAAGUUUACAAAAGAGGGAAAGGGAAACUACACAUAAUCUUUAACCAGUCUAAAAUUAACAUGCCUGCUUGGGUCAAACAAACAAAAACUGAUUUAAAAAGAUUCAAAUCAUCAUAAUUUAUAGGAAUCACACAGAUAAAGUACACAAAAUGAAACUAACAUGAUUUUGAAGGUGAUGGAGUUGAGGACCAAAAGAAUAAGAAGACAUACAGAUAUGUGAAAAAUUCUCCUGCCAGCUGACUGUUGGCAGACAUUAUGAGACAGAAAAUGAGAGCCAGCUUGGCUGUUUUAUCUGUCCUGAUGUAUAAAAUGACAAACCACUCAAUGGUUUGAAAAGAUCAUCCAUUUUUGAUAAGAAAAGGGAUUAAUGUUAUG
RNAcentral lists this unclassified non-coding RNA (5283 nucleotides) under Pomacea canaliculata. RNAcentral describes it as "neurogenic locus notch homolog protein 1-like, transcript variant X1". Lineage: Eukaryota; Metazoa; Mollusca; Gastropoda; Architaenioglossa; Ampullariidae. The record is from RNAcentral.